GCCGCGGGCCCGGCGCGCAGGCGCGGAGCGGGGCGGCUGCGCGGGGCCGCCUCUGUGCCGCGGGGUGAUUAGCGAUAAUUAGCGGAAAUGCAUCAUUGCAUGCACCCCAGAAGUGCUCAGAAGCGGAUGGGUUGUUGAGGCCGUUGAGCAGGACGGGAACAAAGAACUCCAGGUCAGAAGGUUUGUGCUGCCCUGGGAGAUAUUUGAUAGCACAAGAGAGAAUUCUGAGCAGUGGCUUGAUAUUACCAGGACACUUAAAAAAAAAAAAAGAAGUUUAGUUUUCUUUUUGAGAAACCUGAAAUCUUGAUGGAAGAUCUUCAAAAGUAAGUGCCUGAAUCCAAUUUGCUGAUGAGGAUCAGAUGGAGAUUUUCACCAAGAGGAGAGUCAAACUAAGGCCAGUGCUAACACAAGGUGGACUUGAAGAGACAGAAUUAAUGCUUGGAAAAAGUCUCUGCAAAGGGAAAAAUUAAAUUUAAUUCUGAAAACAGAAAUGUCCAGUUGAUACAAUCAGAACAACACAAAUGCAGAGGAAAUCAGUCUGGAAUCCAGAAGCUUCACCACAAGGUAGGAUUAGUUCUGAAUAUGAGCUUUACAUCACACUCUUGUGACUGUCAAAAACAGAAAUGAAAAGAGACUGGUCUCUGCC
This is a long non-coding RNA of Vidua chalybeata, 646 nucleotides long. RefSeq lists it as uncharacterized. The record is from RefSeq and is a predicted model, not a curated record. The transcript is spliced from 3 exons. Lineage: Eukaryota; Metazoa; Chordata; Aves; Passeriformes; Viduidae.